This 2880-nucleotide ribosomal RNA is filed under the name Pseudomonas sp. LG1E9. RNAcentral describes it as "bacterial LSU rRNA". It matches the Rfam family "Bacterial large subunit ribosomal RNA". Lineage: Bacteria; Pseudomonadati; Pseudomonadota; Gammaproteobacteria; Pseudomonadales; Pseudomonadaceae. The record is from RNAcentral.
AGAAGCGCAUACGGUGGAUGCCUUGGCAGUCAGAGGCGAUGAAAGACGUGGUAGCCUGCGAAAAGCUUCGGGGAGUCGGCAAACAGACUUUGAUCCGGAGAUGUCUGAAUGGGGGAACCCAGCCAUCAUAAGAUGGUUAUCUUACGCUGAAUACAUAGGCGUAAGAGGCGAACCAGGGGAACUGAAACAUCUAAGUACCCUGAGGAAAAGAAAUCAACCGAGAUUCCCUUAGUAGUGGCGAGCGAACGGGGACUAGCCCUUAAGUGGCUUUGAGAUUAGCGGAACGCUCUGGAAAGUGCGGCCAUAGUGGGUGAUAGCCCUGUACGCGAAAAUCUCUUAGUCAUGAAAUCGAGUAGGACGGAGCACGAGAAACUUUGUCUGAAUAUGGGGGGACCAUCCUCCAAGGCUAAAUACUACUGACUGACCGAUAGUGAACUAGUACCGUGAGGGAAAGGCGAAAAGAACCCCGGAGAGGGGAGUGAAAUAGAUCCUGAAACCGUAUGCGUACAAGCAGUGGGAGCCCACUUUGUUGGGUGACUGCGUACCUUUUGUAUAAUGGGUCAGCGACUUAUUUUCAGUGGCGAGCUUAACCGAAUAGGGGAGGCGUAGCGAAAGCGAGUCUUAAUAGGGCGUCUAGUCGCUGGGAAUAGACCCGAAACCGGGCGAUCUAUCCAUGGGCAGGUUGAAGGUUGGGUAACACUAACUGGAGGACCGAACCGACUACCGUUGAAAAGUUAGCGGAUGACCUGUGGAUCGGAGUGAAAGGCUAAUCAAGCUCGGAGAUAGCUGGUUCUCCUCGAAAGCUAUUUAGGUAGCGCCUCAUGUAUCACUGUAGGGGGUAGAGCACUGUUUCGGCUAGGGGGUCAUCCCGACUUACCAAACCGAUGCAAACUCCGAAUACCUACAAGUGCCGAGCAUGGGAGACACACGGCGGGUGCUAACGUCCGUCGUGAAAAGGGAAACAACCCAGACCGUCAGCUAAGGUCCCAAAGUUAUGGUUAAGUGGGAAACGAUGUGGGAAGGCUUAGACAGCUAGGAGGUUGGCUUAGAAGCAGCCACCCUUUAAAGAAAGCGUAAUAGCUCACUAGUCGAGUCGGCCUGCGCGGAAGAUGUAACGGGGCUCAAACCAUACACCGAAGCUACGGGUAUCACGUAAGUGAUGCGGUAGAGGAGCGUUCUGUAAGCCUGUGAAGGUGAGUUGAGAAGCUUGCUGGAGGUAUCAGAAGUGCGAAUGCUGACAUGAGUAACGACAAUGGGUGUGAAAAACACCCACGCCGAAAGACCAAGGUUUCCUGCGCAACGUUAAUCGACGCAGGGUUAGUCGGUCCCUAAGGCGAGGCUGAAAAGCGUAGUCGAUGGAAAACAGGUUAAUAUUCCUGUACUUCUGGUUAUUGCGAUGGAGGGACGGAGAAGGCUAGGCCAGCUUGGCGUUGGUUGUCCAAGUUUAAGGUGGUAGGCUGAGAUCUUAGGUAAAUCCGGGAUCUUAAGGCCGAGAGCUGAUGACGAGCUAACUUUUAGUUAGCGAAGUGGUUGAUGCCAUGCUUCCAAGAAAAGCUUCUAAGCUUCAGGUAACCAGGAACCGUACCCCAAACCGACACAGGUGGUUGGGUAGAGAAUACCAAGGCGCUUGAGAGAACUCGGGUGAAGGAACUAGGCAAAAUGGCACCGUAACUUCGGGAGAAGGUGCGCCGGUGAGGGUGAAGGACUUGCUCCGUAAGCUCAUGCCGGUCGAAGAUACCAGGCCGCUGCGACUGUUUAUUAAAAACACAGCACUCUGCAAACACGAAAGUGGACGUAUAGGGUGUGACGCCUGCCCGGUGCCGGAAGGUUAAUUGAUGGGGUUAGCUAACGCGAAGCUCUUGAUCGAAGCCCCGGUAAACGGCGGCCGUAACUAUAACGGUCCUAAGGUAGCGAAAUUCCUUGUCGGGUAAGUUCCGACCUGCACGAAUGGCGUAACGAUGGCGGCGCUGUCUCCACCCGAGACUCAGUGAAAUUGAAAUCGCUGUGAAGAUGCAGUGUAUCCGCGGCUAGACGGAAAGACCCCGUGAACCUUUACUAUAGCUUUGCACUGGACUUUGAAUUUGCUUGUGUAGGAUAGGUGGGAGGCUUUGAAGCGUGGACGCCAGUCUGCGUGGAGCCAACCUUGAAAUACCACCCUGGCAACUUUGAGGUUCUAACUCAGGUCCGUUAUCCGGAUCGAGGACAGUGUAUGGUGGGUAGUUUGACUGGGGCGGUCUCCUCCUAAAGAGUAACGGAGGAGUACGAAGGUGCGCUCAGACCGGUCGGAAAUCGGUCGUAGAGUAUAAAGGCAAAAGCGCGCUUGACUGCGAGACAGACACGUCGAGCAGGUACGAAAGUAGGUCUUAGUGAUCCGGUGGUUCUGUAUGGAAGGGCCAUCGCUCAACGGAUAAAAGGUACUCCGGGGAUAACAGGCUGAUACCGCCCAAGAGUUCAUAUCGACGGCGGUGUUUGGCACCUCGAUGUCGGCUCAUCACAUCCUGGGGCUGAAGCCGGUCCCAAGGGUAUGGCUGUUCGCCAUUUAAAGUGGUACGCGAGCUGGGUUUAGAACGUCGUGAGACAGUUCGGUCCCUAUCUGCCGUGGACGUUUGAGAUUUGAGAGGGGCUGCUCCUAGUACGAGAGGACCGGAGUGGACGAACCUCUGGUGUUCCGGUUGUCACGCCAGUGGCAUUGCCGGGUAGCUAUGUUCGGAAUAGAUAACCGCUGAAAGCAUCUAAGCGGGAAACUAGCCUCAAGAUGAGAUCUCACUGGAACCUUGAGUUCCCUGAAGGGCCGUCGAAGACUACGACGUUGAUAGGUUGGGUGUGUAAGCGCUGUGAGGCGUUGAGCUAACCAAUACUAAUUGCCCGUGAGGCUUGACC